CACGAACCGUACAAACGUUAUUCGGAAUCACUGGGCUUAAAGGGUGCGUAGGCGGCCCGGUAAGUUGGGUGUGAAAUCCCUCGGCUUAACCGAGGAAUUGCGCUCAAAACUGUCGGGCUUGAGGAAGUCAGAGGUGAGCGGAACUUAGGGUGGAGCGGUGAAAUGCGUUGAUAUCCUAAGGAACACCAGUGGCGAAAGCGGCUCACUGGGGCUUUUCUGACGCUGAGGCACGAAAGCUAGGGGAGCGAACGGG
RNAcentral lists this ribosomal RNA (253 nucleotides) under uncultured bacterium. RNAcentral describes it as "partial 16S ribosomal RNA". It matches the Rfam family "Bacterial small subunit ribosomal RNA", at positions 524 to 776 of the family's 1533-position model. The record is from RNAcentral.